GCUAUUUAGGUUAGAGUUUGAUCAUGGCUCAGGACGAACGCUGGCGGCGUGCUUAACACAUGCAAGUCGAGCGGAAAGGCCCUUCGGGGUACUCGAGCGGCGAACGGGUGAGUAACACGUGAGUAAUCUGCCCCUAGCUCUGGGAUAGCUCCGGGAAACCGGGAUUAAUACCGGAUACGACUCUUUCGGACAUCUGAAAGAGUGGAAAGAUUUAUCGGCUAGGGAUGAGCUCGCGGCCUAUCAGCUUGUUGGUGGGGUGAUGGCCUACCAAGGCGACGACGGGUAGCCGGCCUGAGAGGGUGUCCGGCCACACUGGGACUGAGAUACGGCCCAGACUCCUACGGGAGGCAGCAGUGGGGAAUAUUGCACAAUGGGCGCAAGCCUGAUGCAGCGACGCCGCGUGGGGGAUGACGGCCUUCGGGUUGUAAACCUCUUUCACCAUCGACGAAGGUCCGGGUGACCCGCC
Molecule: ribosomal RNA, 466 nt
Filed under: uncultured bacterium
Lineage: Bacteria
Description: bacterial SSU rRNA
Rfam family: Bacterial small subunit ribosomal RNA
Source: RNAcentral